UGUGGCUAGUAGGGAGAAAUCGAAACUCAGCUGUUAAAACCGCUGCCUCUGCUCUUUGGAACCCCCUCUCGAGACUCGUCCAGCGUCCCAGCCUGCGUCCCUCCCGCAGCGACGGCGGCCCCGGGGACCAGGACCGCGGGCUCUGAACCAUGUACACCCGCAGUAAAGUGGUGGGCUCCAGGCUCGGCGCCACCCCUGCCUCCCAGGACCCCAGUAGGGGGCGCGGGGAGCUGGGUCCCUUGCAAAGCCAGAGACAGGGUGUGGAGGCGGCCCCUGGGGCGCCUUGGCGGGAGAGCCUGGGCCACGCGGGCCAGGGGAGCACAGGUGCAUAUACCAUGAUUGCACCAAAUGAAAGCCGGAGACAUCAGAUACAGAGGAUUGCUGCGCAAGAACUGUCCAACCUGGAGAAGUGGAAGGAGCAGAAUAGAGCUAAACCAGUGUAUGUGGUGCCAACACUGCUGGGGGGAAGCCAGUCGGAGACUGAAGUCAGGCAGAAACAACAACUCCAACUGAAGGAAAGUAAAUACCAGCAAAAGCUAAAAAGACAAGAAUCUGUAAGAAUCAGGAAGGAAGCUGAAGAAGCUGAGCUCCAAAAAAUGAAGGCAAUUCAAAGAGAGAAGAGCAAUAAGCUAGAGGAGAAAAAGCAAGUUCAAGAAAAACUCAGAAGAGAAGCAUUCAGAGAACAUCACCAAUACACAACUGCUGCAUUCUUGAGCAAACUGGACGCAGAGUUACCAAACAGAAGUGCCUGCCAAACUGCUCCUCGUGAUCUGAAGUUCUCUACACAGAAACUUCCUGCCCUGCCUACAAAUUACAGCUGGGCUGGUAACCGAGCUUAUAAAGAUUCUCUAAGAGAGAAGGAAAACCAACGAUUGCAAAAGAUAAAAGAUGAACAAAAGCAUAAGCAGAAGAGUGGGAGGGGACAGAGCCCACCACCAGGCUGCUCUCAAUACAGAUCUCCAGUUGGUCACCCCAGCAUUCCCUCUGAGAGCUCCUUCAGAAGCACUGCCAACUCAGCUCUAGUUGAUCCUACGCAUGUGCUUUCCCAGGUAACUUAUUCUAUCUUCCCUUUACCUUUCAGAAAUUUCUUAAAAUCU
Molecule: long non-coding RNA, 1097 nt
Filed under: Ictidomys tridecemlineatus (thirteen-lined ground squirrel)
Lineage: Eukaryota; Metazoa; Chordata; Mammalia; Rodentia; Sciuridae
Description: lncRNA (ENSSTOG00000005604.3)
Source: RNAcentral